This is a non-coding RNA of Paramuricea clavata, 82 nucleotides long. The record is from the annotation of a GenBank genome assembly. Lineage: Eukaryota; Metazoa; Cnidaria; Anthozoa; Malacalcyonacea; Plexauridae.
AUCUAUCUAUCUAUCUAUCUAUCUAUCUAUCUAUCUAUCUAGAUAUAGAUAGAUAGAUAGAUAGAUAGAUAGAUAGGUAAAU